This 69-nucleotide transfer RNA is filed under the name Marmota monax (woodchuck). Its description in RNAcentral is "tRNA.Ala". Lineage: Eukaryota; Metazoa; Chordata; Mammalia; Rodentia; Sciuridae. The record is from RNAcentral.
GUUUGUAGCUCAGUGGUAGAGUGCUUGCCUAGCAUGUGUGAAGCCCUCGGUUCGAUCCUCAGCACUACA